Molecule: long non-coding RNA, 546 nt
Organism: Leucoraja erinaceus (little skate)
Lineage: Eukaryota; Metazoa; Chordata; Chondrichthyes; Rajiformes; Rajidae
Exons: 3
Source: RefSeq, a predicted model, not a curated record
UAUCAAGGUCAUAUGGAAGUUCUAGUUUCUUCACAAUCUUACUAUUCUCAGGUCUUCGUUUUAUCUGUGAUUUAACACCGCUGCUUUGAAGAUUGACGCGCACGCAGACGGACGGCCCUUCUUCACGUAAUCGCUCAUCGUAACUCCUCAUAAAAUCAAGAUCAAACUUCAAACUGGAGGAAACUGGAGCAUCUGGAGAAAACCCACGCAGGUCAUGGGGAGAACGUACAAACACCAUACAGACAGCACCCGUGGUCAGGAUCGAACCCAAGUCUCUGGCGAUGUUUUAGGUUCAACUAUGGAAGAUGAUGGAAGACUGGGCAGCAACACGGAUGGAGGGAACUCACGCCCAUGAAAACUUGGGAGGUGAAGACUCCUCAGACAGAACUUGUGAAGUUAUGUCCAUGAAAACUCAGGAUGCUUGACAAGAUUCUGGGAAGAAACAUCAUCAUCUUGUGUUGCUGAUAGAUGGAAAAUGUAAAACACACUUAUGUAUAUCUGGUUAGCUGAUUAUUGAACCAUUUUGGUUAUCAUAAAUGAUGGGUU